RNAcentral lists this ribosomal RNA (499 nucleotides) under uncultured bacterium. Its description in RNAcentral is "partial 16S ribosomal RNA". It matches the Rfam family "Bacterial small subunit ribosomal RNA", at positions 28 to 507 of the family's 1533-position model. The record is from RNAcentral.
GAUGAACGCUGGCGGCGUGCCUAAUACAUGCAAGUCGAGCGAACAUACUCUGAGCUUUCUCCUCUGACAUUUUCGCCGCACGGGUGUGUAACACGCGGAUAACCCCUCCCUCAUACUGUGAUACCUUCGUUAAACCCGAUCUCUUACACCUUAUAACAUUGAACCCCACGGUUUUCUAGUUUAAGACUUUUUUUUUGUCACUCUUAGAUAUAUCUUCGCCGCGCAUUAGCUAGUUGGUGAGGUAAGGGCUUACCAAGGAGACGAUGCAUAGCCGACCUGAGAGGGUGAUCGGCCACACUGGAACUGAGACACGGUCCAGACUCCUACGGGAGGCAGCAGUAGGGAAUCUUCCGCAAUGGGCGAAAGCCUGACGGAGCAACGCCGCGUGAGUGAUGAAGGUCUUCGGAUCGUAAAACUCUGUUAUUAGGGAAGAACAAAUGUGUAAGUAACUAUGCACGUCUUGACGGUACCUAAUCAGAAAGCCACGGCUAACUACGUG